GGAAGGUAAUGCUCGGGGCGAUGGUCAGCAGAACCCAUCAACAAAUUCUGCUCCAAAUCAGAACGGCACACCCGGAAACUCUGAAUCCCAGGAGCCGGCAACAGUUGAUGAUCAAGCAAUUUUCUUCUCUAGUCUGGUUCGUCAGCUUAUGCCAUACAUAUCUCAAGACACCAACGCACUGCCAAGUACUUCCACAACACCACCGUCCGAGGAAAG
RNAcentral lists this unclassified non-coding RNA (216 nucleotides) under Hevea brasiliensis (rubber tree). The record is from RNAcentral. Lineage: Eukaryota; Viridiplantae; Streptophyta; Magnoliopsida; Malpighiales; Euphorbiaceae.